GCCGUCGUGGCGAAAUUGGUAGACGCACCGUCUUCAGGUGGCGGCGCCCAAAAGGCAUCUCGGUUCGAGUCCGAGCGACGGCACCA
RNAcentral lists this transfer RNA (86 nucleotides) under bacterium. RNAcentral's name for it is "tRNA-Leu". It matches the Rfam family "tRNA". From Rfam's summary of the family: Transfer RNA (tRNA) molecules are approximately 80 nucleotides in length. Their secondary structure includes four short double-helical elements and three loops (D, anti-codon, and T loops). RNAcentral also lists the same sequence under 2 other names. The record is from RNAcentral.